AAAAAGUGAAGUCACAGAACAAAACAAAAACUCUCUCUUCAAACUGCUGUCUCUCCCUGCCGUGUGAGGACAACAGUGGGAAAGCAGCUAUCUGCAAGCCAAGAAGAAAGCUCCAACCAGAACCCAGGCAUGCUGGCACCCACAUCUCAGAUGUUUAUCUUCCAGAACUCCGACUUGGAUGACCUUAAUUUUACCUACGCCAUGGUAUAAAUUUUCGCUGAGAUCUUUAUCUCAUCCUGAAACCAAUUAGCACAUGAGUUUCGGCAGAAGACUCUACAGCAAUUUAAUACACACCUUGGAAGAAAAGGAAACACUGAUGGAAAUGAAGACUGUCUCAAAACCAACCGAACAGGUGUGCAUUUCCAUAAUGGCUACGCAGUUCAGCCCCAUAGUAGCGUCUGCGCCUUUUGCUUGUGAACCGAAUUAGUAAUCUUCACGUGGCCUGUCCCAGUGAUUGAAAUAAAUUACUUUGUUAAAUUGCGAAGCAGGUUGACCCAUCUGUUGGCCCACGAAUGUUCAGAUUCUCAGAGGGUUUAUUAUUCCAAAUAAUGACUGCCAUAUGCAGCGGUAAACAGUUCUUUUAAAACCGACUGAAGGAUUUGGUGCGACUGUUGAAGGCAAUUUAUAAAGCUUUUCGUGUUCUCCUAAAGGAUCUGCCCUUCAACUAACUUCCACGAAAGUUGUCUUGAGUGGUUAAUCCUCGUGAGAAACCUUGUUCUCUUUGGAGAGGAAAGAGGGCAGGGAGAGCAGAAACGUCUGUUCUGGGAGCACCCACUGUGUGCUGGGGGCGAGCAGGUACACGAGCCCUGCUCCGUGGAGGCUGUGCCACUGAUGUUAAUAACCCAGAGAAAACGGGACAUCCGAGAGGACAAGCCGCGCAUCCAAAGACAAAUGCUAAGGUGCAAACAGGGACUCAGAUCCAGCCCACUGACUCUAAGACGCACUGCACAAUUUCCGCCCGGCCCGAGCGUUUACACUGAGCGGCACGCUGAGCGUGCUGUGCCCUCGCAAUCCCAAACUGUGAGAGAACAGGGGUGUCACUCUCCUGGUUCUGCAGGCAACGCCGUUCUGAGGAUGCUUCUUUCAUUUGCUCCAUCUCUCUAAGAAAGAUGGAUCUCCUUUAAGGGGGAGAGGGCAGGGCUUUGAACUCCCAUUGGCAAGAAUCUACUAGGAAUGUCUUAAAGACAAAAAUCUGGGGGUCUUCUUUGCAUAUGUGGCUUUCCUUCCUUUAGGUCAUCCUCCUGUUCUAACCUCAGGGGAAGAUGCGUGCUCUGCUCACACAGGGUCCACGGACCAGCCAUGAUUCGUUCAUGAUGUUCACGGUGACUCGCCGUGGCCAGAUCACAGAUGGCAAAUUGCUGCGGGAUGGCCCGGAGCCAGCACGUGGUCGGCUCUUCUGGUAUUCAACAGCAGUAUUAAUCACGUGUGGAAAGGCAUUUUCCCCCCUCUGUGAAAAAUGAAAUGGCUAAUAUACAGGAUGGAAUGAGUGCCCUGGAACAAUUCCUUUCUAAACGGGAAAAGAAUAAAGCUAUUAAAAGAA
This is a long non-coding RNA of Phacochoerus africanus (Common warthog), 1540 nucleotides long. RefSeq lists it as uncharacterized. NCBI's taxonomy places the organism in Eukaryota, Metazoa, Chordata, Mammalia, Artiodactyla, Suidae. The transcript has 2 exons. The record is from RefSeq and is a predicted model, not a curated record.